This is a long non-coding RNA of Strigops habroptila (Kakapo), 719 nucleotides long. RefSeq lists it as uncharacterized. NCBI's taxonomy places the organism in Eukaryota, Metazoa, Chordata, Aves, Psittaciformes, Psittacidae. The record is from RefSeq and is a predicted model, not a curated record. The transcript is spliced from 3 exons.
GAAAUCCCCUUUUCUGGCUUAGCUUUUGGCGUGGCUUCUCACUGAGUGAUGCACAGCUUGGACACCAGGACACUUUAAAGCUGCUCAAGUUGCUAGUCGCCACCUCCAACAUCCUCUUAGCGUCAGUGUGCAGCGGGAAGGGAUCUCAUCCCCAAGCCAUGCUGGCUUAGGGGCUGGAAGCCAGCACCUUUCUUCCAGCAGAUACCGUCCAACCUUGAAGCCCACCAUCCAGAUCUGCAGAAUAGUGGCCCGAAGCAAAGCUCUUCCUUGACUCUGAUACUUCUAUCCAGAUGAUGGCUGCACAGUGGGAGGACUGGGAAGCAUCUGCUGGAGAAGAGGGAGAGUUUGUUGGAAGUAAUGAAGAAGGCUCCUCUCGGAGUCCUCCCCCUCGUGAACAUCUGGACAGAUAACAGCUCUUCUGAGAAAGAUUGAAAGAGCCGAUGAGGCCUCCUGGAAAGGGCAGGGAAACAGUCUGCCUCAGAGCUGGUCAGGGCCAAGGGCAGAAAGGCUGAGAGAGGCUGUGGGGUCUAAUGCAGACCCUGUCACCCAGAGGUUGAAAGUGAAACAGAUGAAACCAAGGCUACCAAAAAUGAUCUUUGGGUGAAACCACGAGACCCUUGAUCCCAGAAUAUACCUCUUUUAGGCAAGUGCUGCAGCCUUGAAAUACAUUUAACCAUAUGGAUGGUAACAAGAGAUGUAACAAAAGGUUUGUCACUGCA